Molecule: ribosomal RNA, 301 nt
Filed under: uncultured bacterium
Lineage: Bacteria
Description: partial 16S ribosomal RNA
Rfam family: Bacterial small subunit ribosomal RNA
Source: RNAcentral
CAGCCGCCCGGUAAAACGAAGGGUGCAAGCGUUACUCGGAAUUACUGGGCGUAAAGCGCACGCAGGCGGUCUGACAAGUCAGAUGUGAAAUCCCCGGGCUUAACCUGGGAACUGCAUUUGAAACUGUCAGGCUGGAGUCUUGUAGAGGGGGGUGGAAUUCCAGGUGUAGCGGUGAAAUGCGUAGAGAUCUGGAGGAAUACCGGUGGCGAAGGCGGCCCCCUGGACAAAGACUGACGCUCAGGUGCGAAAGCGUGGGGAGCAAACAGGAUUAGAUACCCCAGUAGUCCCUGUCUCUUAUACA